This 492-nucleotide ribosomal RNA is filed under the name uncultured bacterium. RNAcentral describes it as "SSU rRNA". It matches the Rfam family "Bacterial small subunit ribosomal RNA", at positions 26 to 518 of the family's 1533-position model. The record is from RNAcentral.
AGGACGAACGCUGGCGGCGUGCUUAACACAUGCAAGUCGAGCGGAAAGGCCCUUCGGGGUACUCGAGCGGCGAACGGGUGAGUAACACGUGAGCAACCUGCCCCUGGCUCUGGGAUAGCCUCCGGAAACGGGGAUUAAUACCGGACAUGACCCUUGACCGCAUGGUUGGGGGUGGAAAGUUUUUCGGCCAGGGUGGGGCUCGCGGCCUAUCAGCUUGUUGGGGGGGUGACGGCCCACCAAGGCGACGACGGGUAGCCGGCCUGAGAGGGCGACCGGCCACACUGGGGCUGAGACACGGCCCAGACUCCUACGGGAGGCAGCAGUGGGGAAUAUUGGACAAUGGGGGAAACCCUGAUCCAGCGACGCCGCGUGUGUGAAGAAGGCCUGCGGGUUGAAAGCACUUUUAGUGGGGAUGAAAAGUUCAGGGCUAAUACCUCUGGAUCUUGACCUAACCCAAAGAAAAGCACCGGCUAACUCUGUGCCAGCAGCCGC